RNAcentral lists this long non-coding RNA (1557 nucleotides) under Gossypium raimondii (Peruvian cotton). RNAcentral describes it as "long non-coding RNA (GRAI_LNC001480)". Lineage: Eukaryota; Viridiplantae; Streptophyta; Magnoliopsida; Malvales; Malvaceae. The record is from RNAcentral.
UCAAAUCCAUAUGAUUAUACUGAGCUCAAAUAUGAUGCAGCUCUUAUGGAUGCUGCAAGUGCAACAGUCAAAUUUUAGUGGCUUUGGUGUUGUCUACUGUUUCCAGGUGCAUGGAUUGGAUGGAGCAGUCCAUGCGAAUCUUGGACGGAGAUGUUUUGACAAGUCUCUUGGUACUCUUAUGGUAUCUUUGGAACACUGGUAACAAUGAGGUGCUCAUUGGCAAACAAACCCCACCGCUUGUGGCUCUUGAUUAUACAGGAGAAUUACAAGCAGAGUUCCACAUUCAUAAUUUGACUAAACAGCUAACCUUGCCCCAUUGUCGGAGAGGUUAGAUGAAGGCAUUGGAGGGACAAACUUUGAAGAUCAACGCAGAUGCCUCCUUUGUUGCAAGAGACCACGCAUCGGGCAUAGGCGUCAUGACGGGCUGGUCCUAGGCAGGUGCAGAAAGAGAGUAGCUGAGAUGAGUGACGGUAGCAUGGUGGAAAUGAUGCCAUCAUUUGUUGGGCUAAAACUUGGUAGAGAUCAGGGUUUUGAUAAUAUUAUAAUUUAGUGUGAUGCUUAUUAUAUAAUCUCCAACUUACUAGUUUCUGUGAGGAAUUGUCUUUAUUGGGCCAUAUAUAUUCUUGGUGAAGCCAUAGCUUGCUUUCACAUUGUCUAUAAGCUUUUAAAACAUUUGUAUUCACAAUUUAGAAAAUUGAUAUUUGGUAUCAUACCGUAACAUGUUUUUAAAAACUAAAGCAAAAUAUUAUGUAAUACUAUAAAUACUAUUUUUAUUAUAUUAUUUAAAUAUUAAAACAGAUAUAACCGUAUAAUAAUAUUGAACAAUUAUAGUUGUUUUGUAAUUUUGACUUUUGAUCAUGCUUUAAUUUUUAUCUUAUUAUAUAGUUAUAUGAUGAUUUUAAAAUUUAAAACAUAGUAGUUAAAAAAUAUAUGAAGGCGGUUAUGUUAUGUUUUUAAAAAUUAAAGCAUAAUUUCAAUUGCAUUACUUAAAAAAAAGUAUCUUUUAAAAUUCGUUUUUCUUAAGAUCACAUAUUAACUUAAAUAAAUGUUGCAGUAGUAUAAAUAUUUUUUCUAAAAAUUAAUGUGGUUUUUUAAAAUAUAUGCUUAAAAUAUUGUUUAAAAUUUAUAAUGUUUUAAAAUUAAAAUACUUGGAAUUUUAAAGUUUAAUUUUUAUAUUCUAAUAUUUAAAAAAUUGUUGAACUACAUACUUGUCAAUCUAUUCAUAAUGUUUAACUUAAUUCAAAAAUAAUAAAUUAACAAAAUUAUUAGAAACAACUUAUAACAAAAUUAAUUUUUAAAUAUUAUAUUUAAAUUUAUUUUUUAUUUUAUUAAUACAUACCAUUAAGUUGUGAAUUGCACGGGUUGACCGUUUAGGUAAUAGGGUGAUGCAUUGUGUUAGUCAGUUGAGGCUUAGUGGCUCACUUGAUACUCUUUGGUUGAAUUACCCCUUCAAAUAUCCAUGAUGUUGUAAUGGCCGAUACUUAUCUUCAUUGUACUCAAAACAUAUUUUGUCAUAGAAAAAUUGAAAAUGCAUGUGUUUAGCACAUAAUCAUGUUG